GGGUGCUUGCACCUGGUGGCGAGUGGCGAACGGGUGAGUAAUAUAUCGGAACAUGUCCGGAAGUGGGGGAUAACGUAGCGAAAGUUACGCUAAUACCGCAUAUGCCCUGAGGGGGAAAGGGGGGGAUCGCAAGACCUCUCGCUUUCGGAGUGGCCGAUAUCAGAUUAGCUAGUUGGUGAGGUAAAGGCUCACCAAGGCGACGAUCUGUAGCUGGUCUGAGAGGACGACCAGCCACACUGGGACUGAGACACGGCCCAGACUCCUACGGGAGGCAGCAGUGGGGAAUUUUGGACAAUGGGCGCAAGCCUGAUCCAGCCAUGCCGCGUGAGUGAAGAAGGCCUUCGGGUUGUAAAGCUCUUUCAGCCGGAAAGAAAUCGCACUGGUUAAUACCUUGUGUGGAUGACGGUACCGGAAGAAGAAGCACCGGCUAACUACGUGCCAGCAGCCGCGGUAAUACGUAGGGUGCGAGCGUUAAUCGGAAUUACUGGGCGUAAAGCGUGCGCAGGCGGUUUUGUAAGACAGAUGUGAAAUCCCCGGGCUUAACCUGGGAACUGCAUUUGUGACUGCAAGGCUAGAGUAUGGCAGAGGGGGGUAGAAUUCCACGUGUAGCAGUGAAAUGCGUAGAUAUGUGGAGGAAUACC
Molecule: ribosomal RNA, 641 nt
Filed under: uncultured beta proteobacterium
Lineage: Bacteria; Pseudomonadati; Pseudomonadota; Betaproteobacteria
Description: bacterial SSU rRNA
Rfam family: Bacterial small subunit ribosomal RNA
Source: RNAcentral